Molecule: long non-coding RNA, 243 nt
Filed under: Triticum aestivum (bread wheat)
Lineage: Eukaryota; Viridiplantae; Streptophyta; Magnoliopsida; Poales; Poaceae
Description: long non-coding RNA (TAES_LNC013180)
Source: RNAcentral
AGGAAAAGGGUUGCGUGAAAUUACAUAUGCACACGAAUCAAUCAGGAGGGCCACAGCAAACAGGGCGUUUUCAAUCGGCGUCAGUUCAAGGUGCAUGCCAGCAAAUAGCUGCAGCCCACACCAGGUUCGAGCAACAGUUUCACCAGGUUCGAGCAACGUUGACAGCAACAGUUUCGUCAGUAGCACCGCGAGACGGAGGCCAGAACGGGCGUGUGCUCCUCACACCAGGUUCGAGCCACCAUC